RNAcentral lists this ribosomal RNA (692 nucleotides) under uncultured bacterium. RNAcentral describes it as "bacterial SSU rRNA". It matches the Rfam family "Bacterial small subunit ribosomal RNA", at positions 61 to 749 of the family's 1533-position model. The record is from RNAcentral.
GUCGAACGGAGUUAUUUUGGCAGAAGCCUUCGGGUGGACGCUGAUAUAACUUAGUGGCGAACGGGUGAGUAACACGUGAGCAACCUGCCCUUCAGAGGGGGACAACAGUUGGAAACGACUGCUAAUACCGCAUAAGACCACGGUGUGGCAUCACACAGAGGUCAAAGGAGAAAUCCGCUGAAGGAUGGGCUCGCGUCCAAUUAGCUAGAUGGUGAGGUAACGGCCCACCAUGGCGACGAUUGGUAGCCGGACUGAGAGGUUGAUCGGCCACAUUGGGACUGAGACACGGCCCAGACUCCUACGGGAGGCAGCAGUGGGGAAUAUUGCACAAUGGAGGAAACUCUGAUGCAGCGACGCCGCGUGAGGGAAGAAGGUCUUCGGAUUGUAAACCUCUGUUGUCAGGGACGAUAAUGACGGUACCUGACGAGGAAGCCACGGCUAACUACGUGCCAGCAGCCGCGGUAAAACGUAGGUGGCAAGCGUUGUCCGGAAUUACUGGGUGUAAAGGGAGCGCAGGCGGGAGAGCAAGUUGGAAGUGAAAUCUGUGGGCUCAACUCACAAAUUGCUUUCAAAACUGUUUUUCUUGAGUGGUGUAGAGGUAGGCGGAAUUCCCCGGUGUAGCGGUGGAAUGCGUAGAUAUCGGGAGGAACACCAGUGGCGAAGGCGGCCUACUGGGCACUAACUGACGCUGA